CGGGACGGGUGAGUAACGCGUGGGUAACCUACCCUGUACAGGGGGAUAACAGUCAGAAAUGACUGCUAAUACCGCAUAAGACCACAGCACCGCAUGGUGCAGGGGCAAAAACUCCGGUGGUACAGGAUGGACCCGCGUCUGAUUAGCUGGUUGGUGAGGUAACGGCUCACCAAGGCGACGAUCAGUAGCCGGCUUGAGAGAGUGAACGGCCACAUUGGGACUGAGACACGGCCCAA
Molecule: ribosomal RNA, 236 nt
Filed under: uncultured bacterium
Lineage: Bacteria
Description: partial 16S ribosomal RNA
Rfam family: Bacterial small subunit ribosomal RNA
Source: RNAcentral